Long non-coding RNA from Zea mays, 1347 nucleotides. RefSeq lists it as uncharacterized. The transcript is spliced from 4 exons. The record is from RefSeq and is a predicted model, not a curated record. Lineage: Eukaryota; Viridiplantae; Streptophyta; Magnoliopsida; Poales; Poaceae.
GUGAAGUUUAAAUUCGUGCUUAGAUGGCAUAUCCCAAAACCGCUCUACUUACAAGGAUGGCAAACAUGCUCAUCCAAAUGAGUCUUCAGAACCCCCUUACUUUGGCUCAUCCGUGAGCAUUUUACAGAAGCAACCAGCCAAGGAACCCCAUAUGGAUGGGGACAAUCUGAAUGGCUCUGCUAACAGAGGUGAUUAGCGGCAAGGUAUCAUUGCAUCAAUUUGUGUAUUAUCUUGAGUAUACAUGGAUGUGCAUAGCCUGUGUGGAUUUUGUUCGCCAAAGCUUUGGCCCCAAAACGUGUUUGUUACCUCCACCAAUAUUCUGUAUGCAUUCAUCAUAUUGAAGCUAAAAAGUCAUUGUGCUUUUGUAGACCUGUGUUUUUGUAGAACACUUCUCUAUUUUAUCCAUUCAGAACAUUGUUUUAUAUUUUAUCCAUUCAGAACUUGUGUUUUUGCAAAACACUUUUCUAUUUUGCAGUGAGCUUAACUGUCAGACUUUUGAUAGACACUUAUCCAAUAUACUAAUGCCCCAACUGCUCUUGAAGUUAAAAAGUCAUUGGAUGGAGUAAGCAUCCCCAAGUAAUGCAUUUUACAAAUUUACUAAUUGCUAUUGUGGAUUAUCAAGCCUGUGAUAUGAAAUUACUUAUGCGACUUACUCUCCUUCAUAUAUUUCCUUCCCGAACAUAACGAUGCCUGCCACAUGUCCAUAGCCUUUUUGCACAUAAAGAUUUGAAUAUCAAAUUUUAGUCGCACCACAAUAGGUACUAGAAAGUGGUAUAGGCAGUCUUACCACUUCAUGUUGAUAAGUGUCAUAUGCUACAUUUUGCGGCUUCCUAUUGAUAAUGCUUCGAAGAUAAUAUUAACUAAGUAUCCCUUGUGAAUUGUGACAUUGUUUUGUUGCUUUAAAAGGGAUUACACCAAUCCUGACCUUUUUGUCAACCAAAUAAUAAUUGAGGGGAUUGUGUAGUAUGCUUCGUAUGUUCAUAUCUCAUGAUGUUUCACCCCCAACCCCAACCCCAACCCCACCCUCCCCCCUUUUUAAUUUUUGUUGAUCUAACUCAAAGAAAAAUUUGCAGCCCACGAUAGGCCGGAGCCUAAGAGCAGCGUGCUUUUAGGAUUAGUUGAGAUUUGAGAACAUGCAAUAUGCUGUGACGGUGGAUGUUCUGCAAACUGUGUUUUCUGUUUUUGGCGCUGUUAAAAAAAUCACCAUGUUUGAGAAGAAUAGUGGAAUGCAGACUCUAAUAUAAUAUUCAGCUUGAGAAGGACCUCAAGGAACAACAAGUUGUGCAAGGUGCAGUGGAAAACACUUUAGGGGCUGGUUCUAUCAAUUUGCUAUUAGAGAAUCCAAUA